This 90-nucleotide transfer RNA is filed under the name Corystes cassivelaunus. Its description in RNAcentral is "transfer RNA-Val". Lineage: Eukaryota; Metazoa; Arthropoda; Malacostraca; Decapoda; Corystidae. The record is from RNAcentral.
AUUGUUUUGGCAGAUUUUAUGCUCUAGAUUUAGGUUCUAGUCAAAUAGAGAGAUUCUAUAAAUAAUAAAUCAAUUAGAGUUAGUUGAUUU